UUCUUUUUUUUUUUUUUUUUGAUGUUUGUUUUUCAAGACAAGGCUUCUCUACGUGGCCUUGGCCGUCCUGGAAUUCACUGAAUACGAGGCCCGUCUUGAAGAUCAACCUGCCUCUGCCUCCCAAGUGCUGGAACCGCCACUGUCCAGCAAAAGCCCAUAUUCCUACAGACAGAUAAAGGAUCCAGUAAUAGCUUUCUGUGAAGAGAAGUGAGAUCUUCCUUAAGUGGAUUUCGAGAGGCAGUUACUCGUUCUCUGCGGGCGCCGUUUUUAUAAACAGGUGGAACAUCUUUACGUUCAUAUCCUUUGUUCAUUUUAGCCGAAUACCUGACUCUAGUUUAGACAAGAUGUACGUCUGCACCGGAAAGCCUUCUGUCGCGUUCGAGCACUGGUUUUCUUCUCUCGCUUCUCCUCGUCCCCCUGCCGAAGUUCUAGGAGUUCAGUUGUCCCACUUUCCCCUUUUACACACUCCUCGGGCCAAAAGAUCCCCUUCUCUGCUGAGGGCUUCUAGCUCCUGUGAAUUUGUGGAACCCAGCCUGGAAGUGUCUCCCCAUGAUCCCGAAGAAAACGCAAAAGCAGACUGUUGGCACCACAAAGUCCUAAAGCGCUUCAAAUGGGGAACUGACUAAAAGUGAUACGGCAAAAACUGAGUGAACGCUGGGGACAUAGAGCAGUGGAGCGGAGCUCAGAAUGCUUGCCUGGCACUUACGAAAGUGCCAGGGUUUAAUCUGGAGCACCCCCUAAGACUGGGUGGCAUAAUCCUUGGGAGCUAAAGGCAGGAAGAUCAGGAGUUUAAGGUCAUCCUUGACCAGUUCAAGGCCCAACCCAGGCUGCAGGAGACUCCACCUUAAAAAAAAACCAAGCUAAUACAAACGGGAACAGAUUGAAGUAGGUGCAGUGAACACCCAGAUGUAAGGGUUCUUCCAGUGACAAGGCUUUAGGGAUAGCAUAACAUUCUUGCCCAGGAGAAGCUCACAGUCACUCUUCUGGGUCUGCAGCUCCUUCCCGUACUCAGAUGGGAGGCUGAAGAGGACCCUGCGGUGGCCUUGCACCAUUGCGUCGUGUGUUGAAAGCUGGCAACAGCAGCGAAUUACCUCAAACCCGUGUCCUCCGAGUCAGCGAUGAGCAAAGGAGGAUUAGGAAACAGGACAUUGCCACACAAUUCUACAUCCAUCCAAAGUCACAAACAUUACAAUGUCCCUCCUGUGCAAAUCAGAGCCCGCAACUGACACCACCAAAGGUGUGGGUCCUGGCUCCAACUUCCACAUGGUCCUGGUAUAGGGUCCCUUUGACUUGACAAGUGAGUAGGACCUUCUAAAGGGAAGCAAACACAGGGUUCCCUGUGGAGUUAAUCUGUAUCUCCUGUGAAGUUAUUCAAGGAUAAUGCUACUUCAAGAUGAACGCCAUAUAAAUAACGCCAUAUAAAUGACUGCAGGCUGUUUAAUAACAGAUCCAAAGCAAUCCAAGGAGAGAACUUGAUAUCUGACGGCUAGAAACGCAGGCAUCUGGCAGCCCCAGCUCUGAUCUGGCAUCCACACUCUCCAGUCCUGACUCAGCCACAGAGAGCCACUUCAUCUACAAGGACACCAUCUCCAGGCAGCCAGUGCCCUGUGCCAGUCCAGCUUUUACAGGGACUCUGCUGACCAUUAAAUGCUUCAGAACUUUUUGUCCAGUUGACUGAAGAUCUGUCCUGUCUGCACCAUGGCUUGGCUUCUUCCUAUGCCCGAUCUUGCUUCGGACAUUUCCAUUCCUAGGUGAUCCCUAGCAAGCAGCUGUCAUUUUAGACUCCAUCAGCACAAGCUUAUGGGGAACCCAGUCUACAGUUCCAAGCAUAUUGUACCAUGUUGACUUGGGGCAUUUGGUCAAGUUAACUAGUGUGUGUGUGUGUGUGUGUGUGUGUGUGUGUGUGUGUGUGUGUGUGUGAAUUCCCUAAUCUGUAGUGAGAAUGUUAAUUUGUUUUCCUAUAUACAUCUUUCAUUGCAAGAUGUUUCUCUAUUUCACAGAAUACUAAUAAAUAAAUCUACGAGGAAGGGAUCUGGCAGAAUACCUCCGUGCAAAGAGGACACAAGGGUAGAGAAAAAAACAUAGGCCCAUCCUAUGGGAAAGGACAAUAAAACUAUAAGGAAA
This is a non-coding RNA of Rattus norvegicus (Norway rat), 2124 nucleotides long. The record is from RefSeq and is a predicted model, not a curated record. NCBI's taxonomy places the organism in Eukaryota, Metazoa, Chordata, Mammalia, Rodentia, Muridae.